CUAAGCAUAUCAAUAAGCGGAGGAAAAGAAACUAACAAGGAUUCCCCUAGUAACUGCGAGUGAAGCGGGAAAAGCUCAAAUUUAAAAUCUAACAGUCUUUUGGCUGUUCGAGUUGUAAUCUAGAGAAGUGUUAUCUGCGCUAGACCGUGUACAAGUCUCCUGGAAUGGAGCGUCAUAGAGGGUGAGAAUCCCGUCUUUGACAUGGACUACUAGGGCUUUUGUAAUGCGCUCUCAAAGAGUCGAGUUGUUUGGGAAUGCAGCUCAAAAUGGGUGGUAAAUUCCAUCUAAAGCUAAAUAUUGGCGAGAGACCGAUAGUGAACAAGUACCGUGAGGGAAAGAUGAAAAGAACUUUGGAAAGAGAGUUAAAUAGUACGUGAAAUUGCUGAAAGGGAAACGCUUAAAGUCAGUCGCGUUGUCCAGGGAUCAGCCUUGCUUUUGCUUGGUGCAUUUUCUGGUUGAUGGGUCAGCAUCAAUUUUGACCAUUAGAAAAAGAUUAGGGGAAUGUGGCAUCUUUGGAUGUGUUAUAACCCUUGGUUGUAUACAAUGGUUGGGAUUGAGGAACUCAGCAUGCCGCAAGGCCAGGUUUUUUUAUUAAAAAACUAUGUACAUGCUUAGGAUGCUGGCAUAAUGGCUUUAAUCGACCCGUCUUGAAACACGGACCAAGGAGUCUAACAUGCCUGCAAGUGUUUGGGUGGAAAACCCGAGUGCGUAAUGAAAGUGAAAGUUGAGAUCCUUGUCGUGGGGAGCAUCGACGCCCGGACCAGACCUUUUGUGACGGAUCCGCGGUAGAGCAUGUAUGUUGGGACCCGAAAGAUGGUGAACUAUGCCUGAAUAGGGUGAAGCCAGAGGAAACUCUGGUGGAGGCUCGUAGCGAUUCUGACGUGCAAAUCGAUCGUCAAAUUUGGGUAUAGGGGCGAAAGACUAAUCGAACCAUCUAGUAGCUGGUUCCUGCCG
This 954-nucleotide ribosomal RNA is filed under the name Cortinarius sp. RNAcentral describes it as "LSU rRNA". It matches the Rfam family "Eukaryotic large subunit ribosomal RNA", at positions 34 to 963 of the family's 3401-position model. Lineage: Eukaryota; Fungi; Basidiomycota; Agaricomycetes; Agaricales; Cortinariaceae. The record is from RNAcentral.